This 1779-nucleotide long non-coding RNA is filed under the name Marmota monax (woodchuck). Lineage: Eukaryota; Metazoa; Chordata; Mammalia; Rodentia; Sciuridae. The record is from RNAcentral.
AUCCUCUGUGAUUCACCUGUGGGGGCUGCCAAAGGCUCCAGAGAGCAUCUCUAUCUGCCGCUGAUACCUUAAGUGCCAUUGGGAUUUUGGAGCAAGGUCUAAAAUGUCAACUGCAUACAACUGCCCUUCCUUUGAGAAACUGCUCUUGGCCUGCCCCUAGGCCUUAGUGAAAACUUGAAUGCUCUACCAAGGACUUCCAAGUUGCCAUGUGACCUGACCUGCCCAUCCUGAACUGGGUACUACCUCUUCCAGGAAACCACAAAUGUGAAUAUGCACAGCAGCAAUCCUUCAUCAAAUACAGGUGGUGAGGAGAAGUGGGGUCAUUGCUGUGACUAACCUGACCAUGUGGUUCAGAAGCCUUUGCAACUGGUUUGUGGGAGGAGUUUGGAAAAAUAUUUGAUGAUACAGGCUGGAAAAACCGCUCAAAUGUUGUGAGCAUAGAUUAAUGGGUGAUUCUGGUGGAAGGUCAGAAGACCAGAAUGCCAAUAGCAAUGUGGACAGCAACGACUGCUCCUGACCAGGACUUAUUGGGAAUUAGAUUAGAGGCCAUUCAUAUUGCGUUCUGACAAAGAACUUGUCUGUACUUUGCCCAUGUCUGCAGUUGAAUUUAAAGAUGAUGGACUAACUAGUUUGGUGAAGAAAAUUUCAAGGCAGAACAGCAAUCAAACUGUGGCAUAGGUAUUGGUGCUGGCUUUUAGCCAGGUUUACUGUGACAGUGGGAAGCAGAGGCAGAGAAGAAAGAUUUUAAAAGCUUACAGCUUGGCCAGAAAAGCACAUGUAAAAUUGGGACCAAGGAAAAUACGAUUCAGAAGAGAUUACCUUCACUAAAGAAAAGCUAAGUAUUUUGUUCAGAGAUAAUAGAAAAGAUGCCUUGAGGGAUUUUAGGAAUCAGCAAGACAAUACUCUUUGCAGCCUCCGAGGUGUGAAAAUGAAAACUCGUUUGAGAAGAGACCUUGGGGCACCCUGCUUACACAGGGGUGGGGUGUCCAGGAAGUUGUUUCACCAGAGGCAAGUGCCAUUCUUCUAAAUCAGGUGCUUGGAUUGCUGCUGCAUUGCUUAAGGACAUUGGAUUCCUGCUCCUUCACUCUUCCAAAGUGGACUCUGACCAGUGAUUCUCCAGGUAUUUUCCAGGCUUUUGGUCUCUUUUGGUCUCAGACUGGGGUUGCACCAUUGGUCCUUCUGAGGUUACAGCUUUUUGGACUGAGCAGCUACGGUUCCUCCAGCUCUCCAGUCUGCAGACGGCCAUUGUGGGACUCUCUGACUUCUGAUCCUGUAAGCUAACCUAGUAAAUCCCUUUUAUAAUUAUUCAUACAGAUAGACAGAUAUCAAUAGAUGUAUGUAUUGAUACCUGUCCUCUGUCUGUCUAUCUCCUGUUCUAUUCCUGUAGAGAAUCCUGACUAAUAGAGAUAUACCAAAAUAUCAACAGGGAGGGGUCCCUGGGAUGUGGGUGGUUGUUGAGAGCCACAGCCGAAGGGGCCCCAGCAAACUUCCAGCUGCCGGCUGAUGAUUGGCUCACAGCGGCCCCAGCAACAUCUAGCUGAUUGGCUCCUCUGCGGUGAUGCUCAUUGGACUGUUUCCCUGCCCUUUCAGACCACGGAGCUGCUCAUUGGGGGACUUUUUUGGCUCCGCCCACAUGACCCAGCCAAUCGACCUCAAGAGCAGGAGGAUGGUGGGAGGUGGAGAGAAGCUUGUGGGGGAGAGAGAGGCUUGUGGAAAGCCGGUGGUGGCAGUUGAGGCUCUGAGGGUUUUUCCGGAGAGGCUGUUUUGUUUGGCGUGUGU